CAAUAGCGUAUACUAAAGUUGUUGCAGUUAAAAGCUCGUAGUCGAAUGAAGGUUCUUUUGUUACGUGAACUCGUAGGUGUAACUUAUGUAGUUUGUGUACAAAGACCUCCCUCGUAUGAAACGAUUUUUCUGAUUUUCAGGAAGAUACGGUCAUACGCAUUACUGUGAACAAAAUAGAGUGUUCAUGGCAGGCCAAUUAGGCUUGAAUACCUCAGCAUGGAAUAAUAGAAUAGGACUUCCGGUUCUAUUUUGUUGGUUUUUGGUAGCCGAAGUAAUGAUUAAUUAAGGGAGUAGUUGGGGGUCGGAUUCGUAUUUAAACUUGUCAGAGGUGGAAAUUACUUUGGAUUUGUUUAAAGAACGGACUACUGCGAAAGACAUUUGUCCAAGGAUGUUUUCUAUUGAUCAAGAACGAAAGUUAAGGGG
Molecule: ribosomal RNA, 423 nt
Filed under: uncultured eukaryote
Lineage: Eukaryota
Description: bacterial SSU rRNA
Rfam family: Eukaryotic small subunit ribosomal RNA
Source: RNAcentral